RNAcentral lists this ribosomal RNA (274 nucleotides) under uncultured bacterium. RNAcentral describes it as "partial 16S ribosomal RNA". It matches the Rfam family "Bacterial small subunit ribosomal RNA", at positions 80 to 353 of the family's 1533-position model. The record is from RNAcentral.
UUUCUUUGCUGGCGACCGGCGCACGGGUGAGUAACACGUAUCCAACCUGCCGAUGACUCGGGGAUAGCCUUUCGAAAGAAAGAUUAAUACCCGAUGGCAUAGUUCUUCCGCAUGGUAGAACUAUUAAAGAAUUUCGGUCAUCGAUGGGGAUGCGUUCCAUUAGGUUGUUGGCGGGGUAACGGCCCACCAAGCCUUCGAUGGAUAGGGGUUCUGAGAGGAAGGUCCCCCACAUUGGAACUGAGACACGGUCCAAACUCCUACGGGAGGCAGCAUG